GCCUGGGUGGCUCAGUCGGUUAAGCAUCUGACUUUGGCUCAGGUCAUGAUCUUGCAGCUCGUGGGUUCAAGCCCCGUGUCAGGCU
Molecule: transfer RNA, 85 nt
Filed under: Felis catus (domestic cat)
Lineage: Eukaryota; Metazoa; Chordata; Mammalia; Carnivora; Felidae
Also listed under: 3 other names
Rfam family: tRNA
About the family: Transfer RNA (tRNA) molecules are approximately 80 nucleotides in length. Their secondary structure includes four short double-helical elements and three loops (D, anti-codon, and T loops).
Source: Rfam by way of RNAcentral